UUGUUGUUAUUGUUUUAGAAACAGUCUUGUUGCAACUGACUGUGUUGAAUUUAACUUAAGUAUUAACUUUUCUUGUGUUUGCAGGGCACUAUCAUCAAAGAUUCAGUCUGGUUUUCUUGCCAGUGCAUACUGUGAUGUCAUUUCUGGAGAUAAAAUCGAUGGCAAUUGCACAGAAGUUAAAGUCCAUGUUUCUGAGGUGGCACUGCUCACUUUUUCAUUAGUAACUCUGCUGAGGACCUGUUUAUUGCUGAAUCAGUUAUAAAAUUCAAAUAUACUAAAGGCACUGGUAAAAUUUGGUUAAAAGAACAGCUCAACAUUAAUUGAUGAGGCAGUGAAGAGACUUGUAUGUCAAAACCAAUACGAAUGUGCCAGAAAUCCUACAAAGGGAAAGAUAGAGUGCUGGUGUGGAGGAAGACAGAAGAAAAGAAAGAAUGAAAAAGGGAAAAAUCAUAAGAAAUAUGCAGCAGAAUUGGGAAAUUCUAGUAAGGAACCUGUCUGCCUUAUUCAUCAUGCUAUUCCUCAUAUCCUUAGGGCCUGGCAAUAUGACCAGAAAACAAAAUUAAAUAAAUAAAUGAAAGAAAGAAAAAAGG
Nannospalax galili (Upper Galilee mountains blind mole rat) is the source of this 590-nucleotide long non-coding RNA. RefSeq lists it as uncharacterized. The record is from RefSeq and is a predicted model, not a curated record. The transcript has 3 exons. NCBI's taxonomy places the organism in Eukaryota, Metazoa, Chordata, Mammalia, Rodentia, Spalacidae.